This 73-nucleotide transfer RNA is filed under the name Rattus norvegicus (Norway rat). It matches the Rfam family "tRNA". Rfam says of the family: Transfer RNA (tRNA) molecules are approximately 80 nucleotides in length. Their secondary structure includes four short double-helical elements and three loops (D, anti-codon, and T loops). Lineage: Eukaryota; Metazoa; Chordata; Mammalia; Rodentia; Muridae. The record is from Rfam by way of RNAcentral.
GGGGAUUUAGCUCAGUGGUAGAGCGCUUGCCUAGCAAGCGCAAGGCCCUGGGUUCGGUCCCCAUGAAUCUGUG